This 200-nucleotide ribosomal RNA is filed under the name uncultured bacterium. Its description in RNAcentral is "partial 16S ribosomal RNA". It matches the Rfam family "Bacterial small subunit ribosomal RNA", at positions 1301 to 1500 of the family's 1533-position model. The record is from RNAcentral.
CAGGCUGCAACUCGCCUGCAUGAAGUCGGAAUUGCUAGUAAUCGCGGAUCAGCAUGCCGCGGUGAAUACGUUCCCGGGCCUUGUACACACCGCCCGUCACACCAUGGGAGUCGGUAACACCCGAAGCCAGUAGCCUAACCGCAAGGAGGGCGCUGUCGAAGGCAGGUCUGAUGACUGGGGUGAAGUCGUAACAAGGUAGC